ACGGAAGGCAGCAGUGAGGAAUAUUGGUCAAUGGACGGAAGUCUGAACCAGCCAAGUCGCGUGAAGGAUGAAGGUAUUAUGUAUUGUAAACUUCUUUAGCAGUGGAGUAAUAAGGGGAUCGUGAUCCCUGAUGCAAGUACACUGAGAAUAAGGAUCGGCUAACUCCGUGCCAGCAGCUGCGGUAAUACGGAGGAUCCGAGCGUUAUCCGGAUUUAUUGGGUUUAAAGGGUGCGCAGGCGGCUUUUUAAGUCAGUGGUUAAAUCGUGACGCUCAACGUCAUCACGCCAUUGAUACUGGAGAGCUUGAUUGCGGUCGAGGUUUGCGGAAUUCGUUGUGUAGCGGUGAAAUGCAUAGAUAUGACGAAGAACACCGAUUGCGUAGGCAGCAGACCAGGCCGUAAAUGACGCUCAUGCACGAAAGUGCGGGGAUCGAACAGGAUUAGAUACCCUGGUA
This 453-nucleotide ribosomal RNA is filed under the name uncultured Porphyromonadaceae bacterium. Its description in RNAcentral is "partial 16S ribosomal RNA". It matches the Rfam family "Bacterial small subunit ribosomal RNA", at positions 341 to 792 of the family's 1533-position model. The record is from RNAcentral. Lineage: Bacteria; Pseudomonadati; Bacteroidota; Bacteroidia; Bacteroidales; Porphyromonadaceae.